Triticum aestivum (bread wheat) is the source of this 858-nucleotide long non-coding RNA. RefSeq lists it as uncharacterized. Lineage: Eukaryota; Viridiplantae; Streptophyta; Magnoliopsida; Poales; Poaceae. The record is from RefSeq and is a predicted model, not a curated record. The transcript has 2 exons.
UGACCGUGAGAGAUAGCUAGCUAGCUCCAUCAGGAAAGCACCGCCUGCGCGACAAGAGGAAGAGGAAGAGGGACAAGCAUCAAUGGCUGGUGGUGACCAACCAGCUGCCGUGAUCGGCUUCGUCUUCGGCUUGGCUUGGUGGCGGCCGUGAUCGGGCUCGUUGCCGCCACCAGCAACCCGGGAGACUUCCAGUCGCAGAUCGGGCACUCUGCCACGGAGGCGGAGGCGCUGCGCCUGCGCGCGGCGGCGCUCGCCCUGGUGCUCCUCGGCGUAGCUCAGGCCAUGACGGCCGCGGCGGCCGUCGUGGUCCUGGCGGGGGGUUCCCUCACAUUUCUGGGCCGGCGCCUCGUCGCCAGCGCGCUCGUCGUCGCUGCCACCAAUACCUACCUUCUUUUCCGAGUCGUCUACAUGGUGGCAGUCGUCGCCGGCGGGCAGAGCGCCGGCGGGAACGUCCUCGACCUCUGGACCCAAAUCUCCAUCGCCUGCUCCUUCUUCUCCUUCUUCUGCGCCAGCCUCGCCGCCACCCUGGCUGGGCCUAAUUAACCUCGCCGGCCGUCACCUUUAGCGUAAAUAAGCUGGCCUUGUAGCGUGAGUUGUGUUCACGUCUCUGCCGCAGAUCGACCUCUCUCUUUGCAUGUACGUAGAGCCAUAAGCUAAGCUAAGCUAGGAGCCCCCUCUAGCCUAGCUUAAGUUUGCCAGCUCGCAGCAUCGAUCUAUCUUCUUCUACGGUUCUACUACUACCAAGCAACACUACAUGCAUGGAUCUUUAGUGAUUAUAAUUGGCAUAAUUACUAGUAGUACAUUAUUAGUGUGAUGAUCAAGAUGGGCUUAACUAUUGGAACGUGUGUGUAUCUGCGA